RNAcentral lists this ribosomal RNA (496 nucleotides) under uncultured bacterium. RNAcentral's name for it is "partial 16S ribosomal RNA". It matches the Rfam family "Bacterial small subunit ribosomal RNA", at positions 28 to 506 of the family's 1533-position model. The record is from RNAcentral.
GAUGAACGCUGGCGGCGUGCCUAAUACAUGCAAGUCGAGCGAACAGACGAGGAGCUUGCUCCUCUGACGUUAGCGGCGGACGGGUGAGUAACACGUGGAUAACCUACCUAUAAGACUGGGAUAACUUCGGGAAACCGGAGCUAAUACCGGAUAAUAUAUUGAACCGCAUGGUUCAAUAGUGAAAGACGGUUUUGCUGUCACUUAUAGAUGGAUCCGCGCCGCAUUAGAUAGUUGGUAAGGUAACGGCUUACCAAGGCGACGAUGCGUAGCCGACCUGAGAGGGGGAUCGGCCACACUGGAACUGAGACGCGGUCCAGACUCCUACGGGAGGCAGCAGUAGGGAAUCUUCCGCAAUGGGCGAAAGCCUGACGGAGCAACGCCGCGUGAGUGAUGAAGGUCUUCGGAUCGUAAAACUCUGUUAUUAGGGAAGAACAAAUGUGUAAGUAACUAUGCACGUCUUGACGGUACCUAAACAGAAAGCCACGGCUAACUACGU